UACGUAGGUGGCAAGCGUUAUUCGGAUUUACUGGGUGUAAAGGGCGUGUAGGCGGGGACGCAAGUCAGAUGUGAAAACCACGGGCUCAACCUGUGGCCUGCAUUUGAAACUGUGUUUCUUGAGUACUGGAGAGGCAGACGGAAUUCCUAGUGUAGCGGUGAAAUGCGUAGAUAUUAGGAGGAACACCAGUGGCGAAGGCGGUCUGCUGGACAGCAACUGACGCUGAGGCGCGAAAGCGUGGGGAGCAAACAGG
RNAcentral lists this ribosomal RNA (253 nucleotides) under uncultured bacterium. Its description in RNAcentral is "partial 16S ribosomal RNA". It matches the Rfam family "Bacterial small subunit ribosomal RNA", at positions 524 to 776 of the family's 1533-position model. The record is from RNAcentral.